CAAAAACAACAAUGAAAACAGAAAAAACAGCAACAACAAAACCAACACCACUUAUGACACAACCGUCUUCUACUGUGACUGCUACCACUACGGCUGCGUCUUCUACUUCUAAAGCUCUGUAUUUCAGUCUGGCGGCAGGAAUCUGUGGUUUCAUCUUCCUGAUUAUCAUCAUCGUCUUUGUCACCUGGAGAUGCAGAUUAAAGAAACAUGAAGCUGACAAACAGUUCCAUGCCUAUGAUGAGGUGUCAGAUGGGAUAGAACUUCAAUACACAUAUGAUGUGUCAAAUCAAGAUGAUCAUACAUAUUCAACUAUAGCUGAUCUACCCGUAAACAAAUGUGAAACAGACAGCCCAUAUUCCUUGGCUGGUCCUGCUACCUGCUAUUUAAACAAUAAAGAUUCAAUGGGAGACAAAACAUAUUUCUUGUUGGAAAAACCCAAAGCACCAGAAGAACUAUAAUAACCAACUUUUGCACUUUUGUUUAACAGAAUCUUCCAUAUACAUACAUACAUACAUAUAUAUAAUAUAUAUAUA
This 533-nucleotide long non-coding RNA is filed under the name Nothobranchius furzeri (turquoise killifish). Its description in RNAcentral is "lncRNA (ENSNFUG00015014590.1)". The record is from RNAcentral. Lineage: Eukaryota; Metazoa; Chordata; Actinopteri; Cyprinodontiformes; Nothobranchiidae.